UAACGUCCGUCGUGAAGAGGGAAACAACCCAGACCGCCAGCUAAGGUCCCAAAGUCAUGGUUAAGUGGGAAACGAUGUGGGAAGGCCCAGACAGCCAGGAUGUUGGCUUAGAAGCAGCCAUCAUUUAAAGAAAGCGUAAUAGCUCACUGGUCGAGUCGGCCUGCGCGGAAGAUGUAACGGGGCUAAACCAUGCACCGAAGCUGCGGCAGCGAACGUAUCACCCAAGACAACUUUACGGAGUUGACGAUUGACGGAGCGAAGCGACGUCAAAGCGUUCAUUAAAGUCGAGUUGGCUUAGGGAUACGUUCGUUGGGUAGGGGAGCGUUCUGUAAGCCUGUGAAGGUGUGUCGUGAGGCAUGCUGGAGGUAUCAGAAGUGCGAAUGCUGACAUAAGUAACGAUAAAGCGGGUGAAAAGCCCGCUCGCCGGAAGACCAAGGGUUCCUGUCCAACGUUAAUCGGGGCAGGGUGAGUCGACCCCUAAGGCGAGGCCGAAAGGCGUAGUCGAUGGGAAACGGGUUAAUAUUCCCGUACUUGGUGUUACUGCGAAGGGGGGACGGAGAAGGCUAUGUUGGCCGGGCGACGGUUGUCCCGGUUUAAGCGUGUAGGUGUGUGUUCCAGGUAAAUCCGGUU
RNAcentral lists this ribosomal RNA (630 nucleotides) under Salmonella enterica. RNAcentral describes it as "partial 23S ribosomal RNA". It matches the Rfam family "Bacterial large subunit ribosomal RNA", at positions 999 to 1547 of the family's 2925-position model. Lineage: Bacteria; Pseudomonadati; Pseudomonadota; Gammaproteobacteria; Enterobacterales; Enterobacteriaceae. The record is from RNAcentral. RNAcentral also lists the same sequence under 1 other name.